UGGAAAACCCUCUCCUGCUGCUUUUGUCUUCCUGCCCUGCUUCCUGCCCUGGGCAUGGAGCUGGGCCCCCACACACCCUCUGGGUGCCUGCAGGCACCUUGAUGUGCCAACACGGAAAUUUAAGAUUUGCAGAAGAGCUGUAUAUACCCAGAACGCACAGGACAGAGGCUCAGGCUGUGAGAGGCAGUCCUGUUUGCGCUCAUUCCUGGGCCGGGACAGAAGCAAACCCAAGCCUCAAAUCCUGUCAGAUUUCUUUUCCUUUUUUAAUAGAAAAAAAUUCAAGGCAUUAUUUUGUCACCUAUUUCCAUGAUUUAUCCUUCAGACAGCUCCUUUCUACGCUCACCCACAAACCCCAUUGCAUCACUGCCUGCCUGGAGAGAUGUUCAGAGCUUCAAAAGAACAGUGAUCGAAGAUGGACAUAUGAGACCUUGUCACUGCCUCCAGGCAAACACUCAUGCACAUCCCAGAGAUGUGAGAUCACAUCCCAAAGAUGCUGCAGUCCAAGAUUUCCUGGAAAAUUUUAGCUCAUCCACACUCAGAGUACAGAGGUUUGAAACUGAGAGACUCAGAGCAGUGCUAAAACACCCCUCCCCUCCUGAGAGCCGUGGAGACCUGCUCCCAACUCUGCUGCGGGCACCACCCAGCCCACGUGCAUCUGCUCAGCUACAUCCCAAACCCCAGGAGUUUUGGGCAUUCUGGGGCUGGGCUGGCCAGUGGUGCUGGUUCAGCAGCUACUGCAGGAGUGACCCAGGCACCUUUCUAGGUAGGUUCAGAAUCUCCUGACAACAGGGCAGGCAGGACAGCCAUGGGACAGAGCUCAAGCACAAAUAAAUUCCUCCUUUCAGUUAUUUUGAAACUUCCUUCAGAUGCUAUCAGUCAUCACUAAAGAGCAAAAAUCAACAUGAUAAAAUAGCCUGAAAGAAAGAAAACAUUUUAACAUUGAUAUGGAAAAAAUUUAAAAGAGCUGCAUUUCUUUCCCAUUAUCACUGAUAGAACCAGAUGUCUACAGGUUGAAGAAUAGCAAUGAAAAAUGAGCUGUGUCUUGCAGUUAGUUUACCAACCUGUCAAAACCAGAAUUUGCACAGCCAGAGCAAACUGAUCCCCUGUGAGCAGUGCUGGCAUCAAAACUUCUUUCCUCAAGGUGUCACCCAUAGCAAUCAGAGGGCUGAGAACCUCUGGAGCUGCCAUCCUACCUGCAGGAGACUUGCCAAACUUCACACUUAACAUAUGUCAAGCAUUAAAAACUCACCAGUGUUGCUGAACAUGGUUCUUGUCGGAGUUUCUGCCUGAGAUGCUUGCAGUGCCAGCAGCUUCCAAACUCCUGAGCAGUCUCUGCCACUUGCUUCUGAGUGUGGAGAAGGAAGACAGGCCGCCCUUUUAUCUGUGUCUUGCUCUGAGGUGUCAGCAGGUCCACUGCCAAGGGGUGGUGUUUCAAGAAAGGAAGUUCCCGUGGAAAAAAAAAAAAAAAAAAAGAAAAAAAAGACUACAACUCCCUCUGCACAUAGUCAGACCCUGAAAAACAGCGAAACUUAAAUCCCGACUCACAUGGAAGGUGAAUUUGCAUAAUCAGAUGACAAGUGGACAGACCCUUCACUGACAAACAGCAAAAUCACAGGCUAGGUAAACCUUCUGUCUUUGCUGAUCAGAGUGGCUGGCUGUGGUUCAGCUCCAUGGCUUUUUUCUUCUUGGUGAAGCAAUGAAAAAUACCAGCCCAUUUUAAUUUCAUUUUUUUACCCCCAAAUAGUUAAAACAGUUAGUAAUUUCAAUCUGUCUCAUAAAACUAUACUCUUUUAAAUUAACAGUGGUGGGAGAUUUUUUUUUUCCCCACAGGCAAUCUCCGUAUUCCCAAUAAUGUCAGCAAUUUACUUCCCAGCUUGCAGUCAGCCUUAUCUACAUCUGUCUGUUGCAAGGUCACCUUAUUAGCUGGCACAAGAAGGUAAUAAAAUGCAAACAAAUAAAAUAAAAUUCCCCAGUGGCUGCUCCCCUAUUUGCAAGUUUGCCCUUUGUCUCAGGUUUUGUUUAUUUUGUGUAUCAAAAAUGACAAAACAAGUUCAAACUUCCAGAGCAUGACCACAGGUAUUGAUGCCAAAUAGGAAAGACAAAUCCUUAGCCUAACAUUUUCAUUCAUUCGCAACCGUAUGAGAAGCUGCCCUUUAUAACAGCAAUUUACUGAGCUACAUUUUUUAUAAACACCUGAGGCUUCAAGUUGAUUUUGUUUUGUCGGGUUUUUUUUCUACGUCUAGUCAGAGUAACACUCAAAAUAAAUAAGACAUCAAAAGGUUUCCUUUUCGGUGCUCUGGAAAGGUGAACUCAUCCUCUCAGCCUUCCCACGGGGUUGCUCUGAGGUGUCAGAGGGUGAGCAGUGCAUCCGGCAUGGAACACAUGGACACAGCCCCUGUCUGGGUCCUGAUGGCACCACGGUGAGGAGAUGUCCUCCACUGACCACAGCAGGACUGCUCCCACAUGCACCACCUAGUAGGUGCUGAGUCCUGCCUGAAUCACAGCCUAGGGAGUGAUAAGUAGUAAGAAAUCCUGGGGGUGUCAAAGACAAAAAAGCACAGAAGAACAGCUGACGAUCUGGUCCAUCUCAUUUGAGCUGGAUUGGAGGUGCUACGUCGGUCCUGCUCUCACAAUUUCAUUAAGAUGUACCUCAGUCUUUAGGAAUGUCCUAGUAUUGAGACACAUCACAUCCACACAAUGAUCCUGGCGUGCCAGUGCUGCUGUUACUCUGAAAGGAACAUUGAUUUGCUCACUUCUCACUCACAUACCUCAACCAUGGACCAUGAGAGUGGUCUGUGCCCAUAGGGCAUCCCGUGUAUCCAGCAGGCAGAUUCACUUCUAAUCCAACAUGAGCCAGCUUGAGGUAGGCAUUCGGACGUCAGGGGUUGAUGAAAGAUGGCCAAGCCCAGAUCUUAACACUGAUUCCAAGUCAUCUGGCCCCAGGUACCUGGUAAUGAGUUUCUCACAGGCAAAUACCAGAGAAGUGAUUGAUGCCAGUAUAAUCAUUAUGGAAAUUCCACUGCUUCACAGCAUCGUGAAAUCAUAGAUUAUCCUGAGUUGUGAGGGACCCACAAGAGUCAUGGAAGCCCUUCUUCUUCCUUCCAACUGAACGCUGAAAAAGGAUUUUUGGACCUAAGUAAGGGAUAUAGGUGACUGACUUUGGGCACUUACCUGCAGAAGGAAUGAAAACUGUUAUCAUCCUGUGCCCAACCCAGCACCACCCAAGUGCUCUGCUGCUGAAGAAGGCAAAGACAGAGAUCAAACAGCGACCAUUCCUCCACAUAUAUCAUACAUACACUUACAGCUACUCAGGCAAAACACUCUCCCUGCCCUGAAAGAAAUGUUCUGUGGGCCCAAAAACUGAAGGUUUAGGCCGCUGACAAAAGAGAGAGCUGCUUUAAGAGCAAGCCAAAAUUCUAAGAUGCUAAAAUAUUUUUUAAGAUCCCUUUCCUGGCUAAGGUGCAAAAGGCAAAAUUGCAAUAUCAGUCCAGAUAUAUUGAGCAACAACGUGUGAAGGCUGAACCUGGAAUUUCAGUACUACGAUUUCUUGACCCUCAGUUCUAGUACAACUGUUGCACUGGAAACACUGAAAUAUGCAUGCUCUACUGCCAAGAUAUUUUGUAUUAGUCUAAAACAACUCAACAUGAAGUACUUCUUCUUCUCGGCAAACUUCUU
Long non-coding RNA from Haemorhous mexicanus (house finch), 3675 nucleotides. RefSeq lists it as uncharacterized. The transcript is spliced from 3 exons. Lineage: Eukaryota; Metazoa; Chordata; Aves; Passeriformes; Fringillidae. The record is from RefSeq and is a predicted model, not a curated record.